AGUGAACGCUGGCGAUAGGCCUAACACAUGCAAGUCGAACGGCAGCACAGUAAGAGCUUGCUCUUACGGGUGGCGAGUGGCGGACGGGUGAGGAAUACAUCGGAAUCUACUUUUUCGUGGGGGAUAACGUAGGGAAACUUACGCUAAUACCGCAUACGACCUACGGGUGAAAGCAGGGGAUCUUCGGACCUUGCGCGAUUGAAUGAGCCGAUGUCGGAUUAGCUAGUUGGCGGGGUAAAGGCCCACCAAGGCGACGAUCCGUAGCUGGUCUGAGAGGAUGAUCAGCCACACUGGAACUGAGACACGGUCCAGACUCCUACGGGAGGCAGCAGUGGGGAAUAUUGGACAAUGGGCGCAAGCCUGAUCCAGCCAUACCGCGUGGGUGGAGAAGGCCUUCGGGUUGUAAAGCCCUUUUGUUGGGAAAGAAAAGCAGCAGGUUAAUACCCCGCUGUUCUGACGGUACCCAAAGAAUAAGCACCGGCUAACUUCGUG
This 492-nucleotide ribosomal RNA is filed under the name uncultured bacterium. RNAcentral describes it as "partial 16S ribosomal RNA". It matches the Rfam family "Bacterial small subunit ribosomal RNA", at positions 29 to 507 of the family's 1533-position model. The record is from RNAcentral.